CAGCCGCCGCGGGAAAACGUAGGGUGCAAGCGUUAAUCGGAAUUACUGGGCGUAAAGCGUGCGCAGGCGGUUUUGUAAGACAGAGGUGAAAUCCCCGGGCUCAACCUGGGAACUGCCUUUGUGACUGCAAGGCUAGAGUACGGCAGAGGGGGAUGGAAUUCCGCGUGUAGCAGUGAAAUGCGUAGAUAUGCGGAGGAACACCGAUGGCGAAGGCAAUCCCCUGGGCCUGUACUGACGCUCAUGCACGAAAGCGUGGGGAGCAAACAGGAUUAGAUACCCCGGUAGUCCCUGUCUCUUAUAA
This 301-nucleotide ribosomal RNA is filed under the name uncultured bacterium. Its description in RNAcentral is "partial 16S ribosomal RNA". It matches the Rfam family "Bacterial small subunit ribosomal RNA", at positions 509 to 809 of the family's 1533-position model. The record is from RNAcentral.